RNAcentral lists this ribosomal RNA (95 nucleotides) under Nannospalax galili (Upper Galilee mountains blind mole rat). Lineage: Eukaryota; Metazoa; Chordata; Mammalia; Rodentia; Spalacidae. The record is from RNAcentral.
CAUACCACCCUGUAUGGGCUUGAUCUCAUCUCAUCUUGGAAGCUAAGAACGGUAGGCCUGGUUAGUACUUGAAUGGGAGAAUGGAAAUGCUGGCU